AUGCGACGAAAGUUUCCAUUCUUUGAUUGGGAAAGUUCCUAUUUGUAGAAAGUUUAUAUUUUUGUAGUUUCUAUUUAUCAUUUUUAGUAAGUUGCCAUUUUUCAUUUUAGUAAAGUUUCUAUUUUCUUAUUAGUUUCUAUUUUUAGGACCUCCAAGCAAUGGAAAAUCUUGAGGAGGAAAAUCAAAGUUGCAAGCAAGUGGAAAAUCUUGAGGAGGAAAAUCAAAGUUGCAACCAAGUGGAAAAUCUUGAGGAGGAAAAUCAAUUCAAGUUGAACAAGUGAUAAACAAGUGGGAAGAUAUUUUUUACAAAUUUGUCUAACAUAUCUAGCCCUUCAUUUAUGUUCAUCUCCACCCUCCAUUCAUCAUUUUUUGGGCUAUAAAUACACUUCUCCUCUCACUCUCAUAACACCAAUUCCUUCAUCCAUCUCAUCUUCUUUGUCUCUCCAUUUCCU
Molecule: long non-coding RNA, 452 nt
Filed under: Rosa chinensis
Lineage: Eukaryota; Viridiplantae; Streptophyta; Magnoliopsida; Rosales; Rosaceae
Description: sRNA RchiOBHm_Chr7g0183541
Source: RNAcentral